Molecule: ribosomal RNA, 468 nt
Filed under: uncultured bacterium
Lineage: Bacteria
Description: partial 16S ribosomal RNA
Rfam family: Bacterial small subunit ribosomal RNA
Source: RNAcentral
GACGAACGCUGGCGGCGUGCUUAACACAUGCAAGUCGAACGGAAAGGCCCUGCUUUUGUGGGGUGCUCGAGUGGCGAACGGGUGUGUAACACGUGAGUAACCUGCCCUUGACUUUGGGAUAACUUCAGGAAACUGGGGCUAAUACCGGAUAGGAGCUCCUGCUGCAUGGUGGGGGUUGGAAAGUUUCGGCGGUUGGGGAUGGACUCGCGGCUUAUCAGCUUGUUGGUGGGGUAGUGGCUUACCAAGGCUUUGACGGGUAGCCGGCCUGAGAGGGUGACCGGCCACAUUGGGACUGAGAUACGGCCCAGACUCCUACGGGAGGCAGCAGUGGGGAAUAGUGCACAAUGGGCUGAAGCCUGAUGCAGCAACGCCGCGUGCGGGAUGACGGCCUUCGGGUUGUAAACCGCUUUCGCCCGUGACGAAGCGUGAGUGACGGUAAUGGGUAAAGAAGCACCGGCUAACUACGUG